UACGUAGGCGGGAAAUUAAGUCAGUAGUGAGAUCCCACAGCUUAACUGUGGAACUGUUAGUGAUACUGGUUUUCUUGAAUAUAGUUGAGGUAGGCGGAAUGUGUAAUGUAGCGGUGAAAUGCUUAGAUAUUACACAGAACACCGAUUGCGAAGGCAGCUUACUAAGCUAUGAUUGACGCUGAGGUACGAAAGCGUGGGGAGCGAACAGGAUUAGAUACCCUGGUAGUCC
RNAcentral lists this ribosomal RNA (229 nucleotides) under uncultured bacterium. Its description in RNAcentral is "partial 16S ribosomal RNA". It matches the Rfam family "Bacterial small subunit ribosomal RNA", at positions 568 to 796 of the family's 1533-position model. The record is from RNAcentral.